AGUGAACGCUGGCGGUAGGCCUAACACAUGCAAGUCGAACGGCAGCACAGUAAGAGCUUGCUCUUACGGGUGGCGAGUGGCGGACGGGUGAGGAAUACAUCGGAAUCUACUUUUUCGUGGGGGAUAACGUAGGGAAACUUACGCUAAUACCGCAUACGACCUACGGGUGAAAGCAGGGGAUCUUCGGACCUUGCGCGAUUGAAUGAGCCGAUGUCGGAUUAGCUAGUUGGCGGGGUAAAGGCCCACCAAGGCGACGAUCCGUAGCUGGUCUGAGAGGAUGAUCAGCCACACUGGAACUGAGAAACGGUCCAGACGCCUACGGGAGGCAGCAGUGGGGAAUAUUGGACAAUGGGCGCAAGCCUGAUCCAGCCAUACCGCGUGGGUGAAGAAGGCCUUCGGGUUGUAAAGCCCUUUUGUUGGGAAAGAAAAGCAGCAGGUUAAUACCCCGCUGUUCUGACGGUACCCAAAGAAUAAGCACCGGCUAACUUCGUG
This 492-nucleotide ribosomal RNA is filed under the name uncultured bacterium. Its description in RNAcentral is "partial 16S ribosomal RNA". It matches the Rfam family "Bacterial small subunit ribosomal RNA", at positions 29 to 507 of the family's 1533-position model. The record is from RNAcentral.